ACAUGCAAGUCGAACGAAGUAGCAAUACUUAGUGGCAGACGGGUGAGUAACAUGUGGGUAUCUGCCCUUUGGCCUGGAAUAACACGAGGAAACUUGUGCUAAUACCGGAUAAGUCUUUACGGAGAAAGCUUUAUGCACCAUUGGAUGAGCCUGCACUUGAUUAGUUUGUUGGUGGGGUAAUGGCCUACCAAGACUGUGAUCAAUAGCUGAUUUGAGAGGAUGAUCAGCCACAUUGGGACUGAGACACGGCCCAAACUCCUACGGGAGGCAGCAGUGGGGAAUCUUGCACAAUGGAGGAAACUCUGAUGCAGCGAUGCCGCGUGAGUGAAGAAGGCCUUUGGGUUGUAAAGCUCUUUCGUCGGGGAAGAAAAUGACUGUACCCGAAUAAG
This 389-nucleotide ribosomal RNA is filed under the name uncultured Pseudomonadota bacterium. RNAcentral describes it as "bacterial SSU rRNA". It matches the Rfam family "Bacterial small subunit ribosomal RNA", at positions 53 to 487 of the family's 1533-position model. The record is from RNAcentral. Lineage: Bacteria; Pseudomonadati; Pseudomonadota.